UACGUAGGAUGCGAGCGUUAUCCGGAAUUAUUGGGUUUAAAGGGUGCGUAGGCGGCCAUUUAAGUCAGCGGUGAAAUUUUGCAGCUUAACUGUAACAGUGCCGUUGAUACUGUUUGGCUAGGAUUUGGUUGUAGUGUGCGGAAUGUGUGGUGUAGCGGUGAAAUGCUUAGAUAUCACACAGAACACCGAUUGCGAAGGCAGCACACUAAGUCAUUAUUGACGCUGAGGCACGAAAGUGUGGGGAUCAAACAGGAUUAGA
This 259-nucleotide ribosomal RNA is filed under the name uncultured prokaryote. Its description in RNAcentral is "partial 16S ribosomal RNA". It matches the Rfam family "Bacterial small subunit ribosomal RNA", at positions 524 to 782 of the family's 1533-position model. The record is from RNAcentral.